UUAAGUUCAGCGGGUAUCCCUACCUGAUCCGAGGUCAAGUUCAAGAAGAUUGGGCUUGAUGGAUGCCGAAUCCGCGCGGGCUCCAGGAAGCGCGAACAGUGCUGCGCGAUUAGGAGGCCCGGCAGGACCGUCGCCAAUGCCUUUGAGGCGAGUCCACGCGGUAGUCGCUAGAGGACAGACGCCCAACACCAAGCAGUGCU
RNAcentral lists this unclassified non-coding RNA (200 nucleotides) under Dothideomycetes sp. RNAcentral describes it as "partial internal transcribed spacer 2". Lineage: Eukaryota; Fungi; Ascomycota; Dothideomycetes. The record is from RNAcentral.